AUCGGCUAGACUUUGUAAACUUGAACUCUAAUUGGUGUUGGUUUGAGGUUUUGUUUUUAUCUUGUUUUUUAGGGUGAAAUCAGAAAUUUUUAUUAAUGGUGCCUUAAACUUUAAGAUUUGGUGAAUGAAUCAGAUUAGUACCUGAUUAAACAAAAGUUAAAAGAGCAGGAGUAAAGUUAUGUUUAAACUGAAAGAGUAUUGGCAGGUUUUUAAAUUAUCUUUGGAGGUUGAGUAGUAAUUGAGAGCCCUCAUUAACAACUUUUACUGUAGGCGCAUGUAUGAUCGUUUAUUUUAUUCUUAAGGAUUGCAAUUUUAGAUGGGUCUCUGUUAAAAUAGAUAGAUAUUUGGUGUAUGUAGAAGAUUUAAUUUGACCUACAGUAUAUUAUUUUGUGGAUACCUCUCUAGUAGGGGGUUGAAAGUGUAAAAGACAGUAAGUUUUUUUUUAUGUAAGACUGAAGUUUAUUUAAGAACGGUACAAAGCAUC
Molecule: ribosomal RNA, 484 nt
Filed under: Baylisascaris transfuga (bear roundworm)
Lineage: Eukaryota; Metazoa; Nematoda; Chromadorea; Rhabditida; Ascarididae
Description: partial 12S ribosomal RNA
Source: RNAcentral